GGGUUGCUCCGGCAAGACCCUCCGAUGCUCAAGUCAGUUCUCUGCCUCAACAAGAAUGGAGUGCUCGAAUGAAAAUUUUAGCAGAGUUUUGGGAUAGAAAAUAGAGCUUAGAGAAUAACGUAUCUGGGGUCCCCCUUUUAUAGGUGGAGGGGGCAACAGACUGAUAGCGAUGUCUGUAACCGUCUGGCAGUAGACCGCCCAGAGUCAGGAGGAGUUUGUUGCGAAGAGUAGUGGAGUGGAAUCGUGGCUAUCACCGGGACAUACCACAUGGAGUCUGUCGUGGGGAGUGGAGCGGCGUCCGUUGUCGCGACUUGCCAGAGGAUGGAAGAAUC
RNAcentral lists this long non-coding RNA (332 nucleotides) under Elaeis guineensis (African oil palm). Its description in RNAcentral is "long non-coding RNA (EGUI_LNC068714)". The record is from RNAcentral. Lineage: Eukaryota; Viridiplantae; Streptophyta; Magnoliopsida; Arecales; Arecaceae.